Molecule: ribosomal RNA, 253 nt
Filed under: uncultured bacterium
Lineage: Bacteria
Description: partial 16S ribosomal RNA
Rfam family: Bacterial small subunit ribosomal RNA
Source: RNAcentral
UACGUAGGGUGCAAGCGUUGUCCGGAAUUAUUGGGCGUAAAGAGCUCGUAGGCGGUCUGUCGCGUCUGCUGUGAAAAUCCAGGGCUCAACCCUGGACCUGCAGUGGGUACGGGCAGACUAGAGUCAGGUAGGGGAGAACGGAAUUCCUGGUGUAGCGGUGAAAUGCGCAGAUAUCAGGAGGAACACCGGUGGCGAAGGCGGUUCUCUGGGCCUGUACUGACGCUGAGGAACGAAAGCGUGGGGAGCGAACAGG